RNAcentral lists this ribosomal RNA (253 nucleotides) under uncultured bacterium. Its description in RNAcentral is "partial 16S ribosomal RNA". It matches the Rfam family "Bacterial small subunit ribosomal RNA", at positions 524 to 776 of the family's 1533-position model. The record is from RNAcentral.
UACGUAGGGUGCGAGCGUUGUCCGGAAUUAUUGGGCGUAAAGGGCUCGUAGGCGGUUUGUCGCGUCGGGAGUGAAAACCCAGGGCUUAACCCUGGGCUGGCUUCCGAUACGGGCAGACUAGAGGUAUGCAGGGGAGAACGGAAUUCCUGGUGUAGCGGUGAAAUGCGCAGAUAUCAGGAGGAACACCGGUGGCGAAGGCGGUUCUCUGGGACGGUACUGGCGCUGAGACGCGAAAGCGUGGGGAGCGAACAGG